UACGUAGGGGGCGAGCGUUGUCCGGAAUUACUGGGCGUAAAGGGUGCGUAGGCGGUCCAUUAAGUCAGGUGUGAAAAACCUGGGCUCAACCGAGGUAUUGCACUUGAAACUGAUGGGCUUGAGUGCAGGAGAGGGAAGUGGAAUUCCUAGUGUAGCGGUGAAAUGCGUAGAUAUUAGGAGGAACACCAGUGGCGAAGGCGGCUUCCUGGACUGUAACUGACGCUGAGGCACGAAAGCGUGGGGAG
RNAcentral lists this ribosomal RNA (245 nucleotides) under uncultured Caldicoprobacter sp. RNAcentral describes it as "partial 16S ribosomal RNA". It matches the Rfam family "Bacterial small subunit ribosomal RNA", at positions 524 to 768 of the family's 1533-position model. The record is from RNAcentral. Lineage: Bacteria; Bacillati; Bacillota; Clostridia; Caldicoprobacterales; Caldicoprobacteraceae.